UGAGGGCCUCCUGGCUGAUUCUGUUACCCCACUAAUCACCAGGGUUGAUUUGGCUGAUGUGGCUGGCGAGGCAGGUUUCCCGUUCCUCUCUCA
Molecule: small nuclear RNA, 93 nt
Filed under: Erinaceus europaeus (western European hedgehog)
Lineage: Eukaryota; Metazoa; Chordata; Mammalia; Eulipotyphla; Erinaceidae
Description: 7SK RNA
Rfam family: 7SK RNA
About the family: 7SK was discovered as an abundant small nuclear RNA in the mid-70s but a possible function has only recently been suggested. Two independent studies have found that 7SK RNA binds the CDK9/cyclin T complex (known as elongation factor P-TEFb). P-TEFb activates transcription by phosphorylating the C-terminal domain of RNA polymerase II.
Source: Rfam by way of RNAcentral